UUUAACUUGAGAGUUUGAUCCUGGCUCAGGACGAAACACUGGCGGCAUGCCUAACACAUGCAAGUCGAACGAGAAAGUUCCUUCG
RNAcentral lists this ribosomal RNA (85 nucleotides) under Acidobacteriota bacterium. RNAcentral describes it as "Acidobacteria bacterium (marine metagenome) partial 16S ribosomal RNA". It matches the Rfam family "Bacterial small subunit ribosomal RNA", at positions 1 to 82 of the family's 1533-position model. The record is from RNAcentral. Lineage: Bacteria; Pseudomonadati; Acidobacteriota.